RNAcentral lists this ribosomal RNA (637 nucleotides) under uncultured bacterium. Its description in RNAcentral is "bacterial SSU rRNA". The stretch from base 1 to 540 matches the Rfam family "Bacterial small subunit ribosomal RNA", at positions 338 to 873 of the family's 1533-position model. The record is from RNAcentral.
CCUACGGGAGGCAGCAGUAAGGAAUAUUGGUCAAUGGAGGCAACUCUGAACCAGCCAUGCCGCGUGCAGGAAGACGGCCCUAUGGGUUGUAAACUGCUUUUAUCUGGGAAUAAACCUAUUUACGUGUAAGUAGCUGAAUGUACCAGAAGAAUAAGGAUCGGCUAACUCCGUGCCAGCAGCCGCGGUAAUACGGAGGAUCCAAGCGUUAUCCGGAUUUAUUGGGUUUAAAGGGUGCGUAGGCGGCAGUUUAAGUCAGAGGUGAAAGACGGUAGCUCAACUAUCGCAGUGCCUUUGAUACUGAAUUGCUUGAAUGAACUAGAGGUAGGCGGAAUGAGACAAGUAGCGGUGAAAUGCAUAGAUAUGUCUCAGAACACCGAUUGCGAAGGCAGCUUACUAUGGUUUUAUUGACGCUGAGGCACGAAAGCGUGGGGAUCAAACAGGAUUAGAUACCCUGGUAGUCCACGCCCUAAACGAUGAAUACUCGCUGUUAGCGAUAUACUAGUAGUCGGCGUAGACGAAGACGUUAAGUUAGUUCCUACCGUCGGGUAAGGUACGUCGUUCGCGAGAGUUAGUAACGUUAAAGGUUAAGUUAGUACGGCGUUGAGACGUUGCCGACGGACGACGACGAGGGAGGAGG